AGUGAACGCUGGCGGUAGGCCUAACACAUGCAAGUCGAACGGCAGCACAGUAAGAGCUUGCUCUUACGGGUGGCGAGUGGCGGACGGGUGAGGAAUACAUCGGCAUCUACUUUUUCGUGGGGGAUAACGUAGGGAAACUUACGCUAAUACCGAAUACGAUCUACGGGUGAAUGCAGGGGAUCUUCGGACCUUGCGCGAUUGAAUGAGCCGAUGUCGGAUUAGCUAGUUGGCGGGGUAAGGGCCCACCAAGGCGACGAACCGUAGCUGGUCUGAGAGGAUGAUCAGCCACACUGGAACUGAGACACGGUCCAGACUCCUACGGGAGGCAGCAGUGGGGAAUAUUGGACAAUGGGCGCAAGCCUGAUCCAGCCAUACUGCGUGGGUGAAGAAGGCCUUCGGGUUGUAAAGCCCUUUUGUUGGGAAAGAAAAGCAGCAGGUUAAUACCCCGCUGUUCUGACGGUACCCAAAGAAUAAGCACCGGCUAACUUCGUG
This 492-nucleotide ribosomal RNA is filed under the name uncultured bacterium. RNAcentral's name for it is "partial 16S ribosomal RNA". It matches the Rfam family "Bacterial small subunit ribosomal RNA", at positions 29 to 507 of the family's 1533-position model. The record is from RNAcentral.